AUGGGCAAUUUCUUCUCUCUUGAGGGUUCCUGCAAUGGAUUGUUUCUUGCCCGCAUUCGGGCGGCCACCCCUGCUGGAACAGUUCGCUACAUGGUCUCCAAUCCAGCUACGAGUGAGUACACUGUGCUGCCUGACUCUGGCUCCGCCGGCAACAUCUGCCGUGCUUACCUGGGUUUCAACAGUGGUGUUUCCACUCAAGAGUUUCAUGUGUUCGAGUUUGUACUGGAUUGGCCAGACUGGACUAUGACAGGAGUCAACAUUUACUCUUCAAAAACUGGUGCUUGGGUUGCAAUGGACCCCCAGUGGGACAUCCAAGUUAGGCUGUGCUGGCGUGAACCGAGAGUUUUCCGUAAGGGGUGUCUGCACUUGCUCAUACGUCAGUUUGGGUUGGCAAUAGUUGACGCACAAGGGCUAAACUGGAGAGUGGAGAAUCAUCCAGCUACCAAUUAG
RNAcentral lists this ribosomal RNA (450 nucleotides) under Triticum aestivum (bread wheat). RNAcentral describes it as "partial small subunit ribosomal RNA". Lineage: Eukaryota; Viridiplantae; Streptophyta; Magnoliopsida; Poales; Poaceae. The record is from RNAcentral.